Molecule: long non-coding RNA, 408 nt
Organism: Strongylocentrotus purpuratus (purple sea urchin)
Lineage: Eukaryota; Metazoa; Echinodermata; Echinoidea; Camarodonta; Strongylocentrotidae
Exons: 2
Source: RefSeq, a predicted model, not a curated record
UAGGUAUCACUCGGGUCUAAACUGAGGUCACCUAGCUAAUAAUCCAUUAAUAUUCGUAUCAUGAGGUGAAAUGUCUUCACCGUGGAAGCAACUGGAGCGCCGUCUUCCUUCAUUACCCGGCAACUCAUCCCACUCCCAGUCUGUUUUUGCAUUGAACCGAAGUGAAACAUUUGAAUCGACACAAUCCGCUCCUCCACAAACCCAGGGGAGACCCCAUUCAACACGGGAAAGAAGUGACGGAACGGAUAGAUCUAUGGCGCACCAAAUCAUUCCAGGUAUUCUUGCCACACCCCGGGAAAUCAAACGCUACCUGGCUGAAAACCCUUGGCUGGUAGAAGAGCAUGUGAAGGAUAACUUCAGCCUGGAUGAUGUACAGAAAUGGUUCAAGGAGGAGAGUAGGCCCAAAGG